RNAcentral lists this non-coding RNA (97 nucleotides) under bovine gut metagenome. RNAcentral describes it as "TPP riboswitch (THI element)". The stretch from base 3 to 88 matches the Rfam family "TPP riboswitch aptamer (THI element)", at positions 9 to 90 of the family's 105-position model. Rfam says of the family: Vitamin B(1) in its active form thiamin pyrophosphate (TPP) is an essential coenzyme that is synthesised by coupling of pyrimidine and thiazole moieties in bacteria. The previously detected thiamin-regulatory element, thi box was extended, resulting in a new, highly conserved RNA secondary structure, the THI element, which is widely distributed in eubacteria and also occurs in some archaea. The record is from RNAcentral.
AAACAGGGGAGCUUGUUGUGACAGGCUGAGAGGAAGGAACACACCUUCGACCCUAUAACCUGAUGUGGAUAAUGCCACCGUAGGGAGUAAUGAUUAC